This is a long non-coding RNA of Vidua macroura (Pin-tailed whydah), 697 nucleotides long. RefSeq lists it as uncharacterized. NCBI's taxonomy places the organism in Eukaryota, Metazoa, Chordata, Aves, Passeriformes, Viduidae. The record is from RefSeq and is a predicted model, not a curated record. The transcript has 2 exons.
GCGACGCGCCCGCCUCCUCCUCCUGCCCUGCGCGCCCGCUCCGCGCUCGGCUCACGGCACGGAGCGCCGGCCCCGCCGCGAGCAGCUGGAGCAGAGGCUGAUCCGAACCGUGCUCGGCGCGAGGGGCGCAGGAACCGCCGUGUGAGGCGGCGGCGGCGGCUCGUGCGCGGUCACCGCGGGGUCGGUGCGAGCAGCGGUUGUCGGGAGCGGCCGUGGGAGCUGCGGCCCCGCCAUCCGCCAGGGAAGCGGGCUGGGCACAGCCUGCGGUGCCCCUGUGCAGCCCCCGCAGCUUCCUCGAGUGCUGAUCGGCUGGGCUGGGAGCUGUCCUGGCUGAGCAUCGAUGGUCUCUGCCGAAACGCGCAGUGGCUGCUGAGGCGUUGAUGAGCCCACGCCGGGGCUUGUGGGUCGCUGCAGAAAAAAGCAGGAAAACAAUGUUGCCAAAAUAGGUUCUUGCACAGGUGAACAAGAAGCCAAUCCACACACAGAGUCGAGGAGCCUUGGAGAAUCAAGAAUCCUGAAGAAGCCUUACCUUGACACCUGAUGUGUCUAUUUUGUGAUGUGCAGAGCUCUGAGGACAGAGGCCUUUUUCCACUAAAAGAAAAAAGGUAAAUUUGGAGCACAGCCAACAGAAAUUAGUCUCUUCUGACUUAAAUGUAUUAAUUAUCUGUUAAAUACAACAAAAUCACCAGAGACUGAG